CAAUACAUCAAUAUUUUCCUCCCCUUUGAUAUUUCUAGACCUAAUAGUCUAAUACAAUAAUACACCGUCUCUCGACUCUCAGUCUCACUCUUCACUAGCCCUAAUACACCGUCUUCUCAAUCUCAAGGCUCAAGAGGCCACUGAGUGUUCAUUCAAUGUUCAAGAGUUCCGGAUCGGAUACGGUUGGCCAGUGAUUUCAUCUUUGUUUUAGAAGAUGGAAGAUUCAGGGUCCGAAGGGAUGGAGGUUGAAAAGAAAGUGGCGCUUCAAAUGAAUCAUCGGAUACAGUAACCACAAGCCCUUUUCCUACAGGAUCUCCUUCCAAAAAAAGGAAAAACCUGAAAGAGAGAUCCAAGGCUUGGAAGCACUUUAAAAAGUACGUUGAUGAACAUGGAAUUAUAAAAGCAAAAUAGAUUGUUGCUGGUUCGACAUCCUGACCUCGUGAGUGAUCUGAGGCUCUAGACCGGACACUUCCAGGGUGAGCAACCUGCCUGAUAUAAAGCCCAGAGGCUCCUCUUUCUUACCUGUCUUCCUUCUUAUUCUGAGACAGCAUUAUCUAGUUUAUGAGACUGUAUUUCCUCUAUCAGUCUAUGUAGUUGUUAUUAGUGGAUAUUGUACGAUUUCAAACCAUUCUUGGGGUUAUGUGUAUUUGGUAUUUCGGCACUAUUUAUAUAUGA
Lycium ferocissimum is the source of this 675-nucleotide long non-coding RNA. RefSeq lists it as uncharacterized. NCBI's taxonomy places the organism in Eukaryota, Viridiplantae, Streptophyta, Magnoliopsida, Solanales, Solanaceae. The transcript is spliced from 3 exons. The record is from RefSeq and is a predicted model, not a curated record.